Orcinus orca (killer whale) is the source of this 2893-nucleotide long non-coding RNA. RefSeq lists it as uncharacterized. The transcript is spliced from 2 exons. Lineage: Eukaryota; Metazoa; Chordata; Mammalia; Artiodactyla; Delphinidae. The record is from RefSeq and is a predicted model, not a curated record.
AAAUACCAGGCCUCUGGAUAUCUAACGUCAUGCAGAGCAGAGGCCGCUCCUUAGAAGGACCUGCUGGCAAGCCUGGCCCUUGGCUGACGACUGGCAAGUUGGGUUUCAGCAGUGCUCCCACCCUUCCCUGGUAAGAAUGGCUGGCCUACCUAAACUGUUUGUAUAAACCAUGUGGUUUACGCUAAACAUCUCGCCUUGUGGGCAUUUUGGUGCGGGCUAGGCAGAAGGUGCCUACCUGGCCAGCCCCCAGUAAAGACCCCGGGCCCUGGUUCUCCGAGGAAUUAAGCUUGUCUUGCUUGAUUUCACAGACUCUUGGAACCUUCCACCCGGUUGCCUCUGGAUGUCACCCAUGCGCCUUUUCCCUCUGCUGAUCUUGUUUGUAUCCUUUCAUUAGGAUAAGUCUUAGCCCUGAGAACAACUGUAUGCCGAGUCCCAGUGUCCUCCUUCUGAAUCACCUAAUCUGGGGGUAGUAAUUUUUCUCACUGUCCUCCUUGGACAGAGAACUUAAAUAAUGGAUUGUUGGAUUCAAAUUCUCAUUUUUUAUGGAAGUGCAUUUCACUGUGGGAAAGCCAUCUCUCUGGAUAACAGGCCUGAGCAUUCAUCUUGGCAACAGCUAAUCCUGGAAGGGGUUUAAGAAGGCACCUUGGGCAGGUUUAAAAUGAGAAAGAUAUUAGAAUAAGGUGGACAAAUUUAGUUAGCCUGCACUACAAAGAAAAAUGAACCAAUACGACCUUCGGCUCAUGGCGGAAGGGGGGACGCUUCAAGCUAUUAUCCUAAUUCCUGCCUCAGUGCAUUAAUAUUAAAUAUUAACAUGAAACAUUAAUAUUACUGUCACCCAACCAACAGUGACAUCAUAAAAUACCUUUCCAAUUUAGCACACAGACACAAAGCCAUCAUAAAUAGUAGUGAGGUUUAACUUGCAAUACGCAUAGCACUUGAUACCACAACCUAAUAAGGAAAUACACUUGAAAUUUAGUACAAGGGGAAAAUGUUUCAAUAUACUCAAUUUUUCUACUUAUGCAAACCCUACAUUUAAAACAUGUUUUCAUUCUUAACUGUUCAGAGUAUCUUCCCCAAAGCAGUCUUCUGUCUCCUAUCUUUCAUUAACACUUAAGGUAGAUACAUUUUUCCCAAUACAGGAAAGAUAUAAAAUUGUAAGUUGUUUCCUAAAAUUCACAUGAUUACAGGUAGUUAACUAAUCAGAAACUUAAUAUGGACGAUGUGAGACUUCCCAUGGACAUAAACUAGACAGCUCAUUCAUACUUAUAUUUUCUCAUAGUGCACUCUCUAAGGGGGUAUCUUCAAAAAAAAAGUAAAUGACACCCAAUUAUGUUCCACAUUAUAUGUCCCAUAUAACUGAACAGCUGUACAGAUUACAAUAAGCCAGAAAUAUUAAGGUCCUUAAUGAACAGUAUGUUACAUAUUAGCCAAAUCAUUCUCUAACCUCUGAACCUAAAAACUCUGAUCCUUCCCAAAUUCUUUUUCUCCUAUGUGCCCCUCACCCAGUUCUUAAGGAGCAGUGCAAACAACCAGAGCAAGACGGCAGACAUAGAAAAAGAAAGUAACAGCCUUCCAGCCCACUACCUGUCUUCAAAAUAAAUCUUCACUGGAGUACAGUCUCGUCUACGUGUCUAUGGCUGCUCUUGCGCUGCAGUGGCAGAGCUGAGUAGGAGCAACAGAGACUGCACGGCUCACAGAGCCUGGAAUUUUUACUCUCUGGACCUUUACAGAAAAAGUUUGCCAGCUUCUGCUCUUCAGCAAUAAAAAGGAAUGAACUGCCAAUGACUAUAACAACAUGAAUAAAUCUCAAAAACAUGCCGAAUGAGAGAAGCCUUAUACAAAAGAGGACAUACUAUAUGGUUCUGUUGAUGUGAAGAUCUAGCGUUGGUAAAACUAACCUGUGAUGGAGAAAAUCAGAAUAACAGCUGCCUGUAGGGGUAGGAUGGGGACCGCCUGGUAAGGGACAAGAGGAUAAUGUCCAGUUCUGCAUCUUGACAGGAGUCUGGCUUUGACAAAGACUCUCUUAUACCAAAACUUUAGACUGGCUCCUCGGAGUAAAUCUUCUUUCUGACUAAGGCCCAACCUUGGGCUUCCGCCUCUGUCCUUGCAGAAUCCAGGUUGAGCAAGAAUCCUAAGAUUCCCCACCCUUGGUACCUAACCAAACUUGAGUUUGAUAUCUGAUCGAAUUCCCCCUCCCCUACUCUGGCCCGCCUUCACCAAGAACUCAGCUGAGUCCAUCUAGCAAGAACCUCCCCUCUCCCUAAUGCUUCCUCUUUGUAAUUUCGCAUCCAGUGACCACGCACCAACUCUGCUCCUUGAUUAGAAAUCCCACUUGUCCUCUCUAGAGUCAGACUUGAGCCCAAACUUCCUCUCUCUCACUGCCAGAGCCCAGGGCAGUGUCCCCUACACCUACCAUGAUAGCCCCCCCGCCCCGAAUAAAGUCCUCCUUAAGGUCUUUAACAAGGGUCAUGAAUAAUUUUUCUCUUUAACAGGCUGCAUUGAUAUCAGAACUCAGGACUGGUAUCCCUAAGAUCUGUACCUUUCAUUUUAUCUAUUGGGCUGGCCAAAAAGGUCGUUUGGGUUUCUCCGUAAGAUGUUACAGAAAAACCCAAACGGACUUUUUGGCCAACCCAAUACAAUUACCUCCUAGUUAAUAAUAAGCAAGGUGAAGUAUCUAGGAAAAAGUAAACCAAAAUCUACAACUUUUUUUUGAAAUGCAUCUUAAAAAGAUAAACUGAUGGAUACAUGAAGGACAGAGAUAGAUAAAUGUGAUAAAACAUAGUAAAAUGUUAAUUUUAGAAUCUAGAUGGUGAGGACAUGAUUGUUCACUGUAAAAUUCUUUCAACUUCUAUCUUUGAAAUUUCUCAUAAUAAAAUGCUGGGGGUAAUGCUUA